UACGUAGGGUGCAGGCGUUAAUCGGAAUUACUGGGCGUAAAGCGUGCGCAGGCGGUUUUGUAAGCCAGAUGUGAAAUCCCCGGGCUCAACCUGGGAAUGGCAUUUGGGACUGCAAGGCUCGAGUGCGGCAGAGGAGACUGGAAUUCCUGGUGUAGCAGUGAAAUGCGUAGAUAUCAGGAGGAAUACCGAUGGCGAAGGCAGGUCUCUGGGCUGACACUGACGCUCAUGCACGAAAGCGUGGGGAGCAAACAGG
RNAcentral lists this ribosomal RNA (253 nucleotides) under uncultured bacterium. Its description in RNAcentral is "partial 16S ribosomal RNA". It matches the Rfam family "Bacterial small subunit ribosomal RNA", at positions 524 to 776 of the family's 1533-position model. The record is from RNAcentral.